RNAcentral lists this transfer RNA (79 nucleotides) under Polistes dominula (European paper wasp). RNAcentral's name for it is "tRNA-Leu". It matches the Rfam family "tRNA". Rfam says of the family: Transfer RNA (tRNA) molecules are approximately 80 nucleotides in length. Their secondary structure includes four short double-helical elements and three loops (D, anti-codon, and T loops). Further hydrogen bonds mediate the characteristic L-shaped molecular structure. tRNAs have two regions of fundamental functional importance: the anti-codon, which is responsible for specific mRNA codon recognition, and the 3' end, to which the tRNAs corresponding amino acid is attached (by aminoacyl-tRNA synthetases). tRNAs cope with the degeneracy of the genetic code in two manners: having more than one tRNA (with a specific anti-codon) for a particular amino acid; and 'wobble' base-pairing, i.e. permitting non-standard base-pairing at the 3rd anti-codon position. Lineage: Eukaryota; Metazoa; Arthropoda; Insecta; Hymenoptera; Vespidae. The record is from RNAcentral.
GACAGCGUGGCCGAGCGGUUAAGGCGCUGGUUUUAGGCACCAGUCCGAAAGGGCGUGGGUUCGAGUCCCACCGCUGUCA